RNAcentral lists this ribosomal RNA (429 nucleotides) under Gemmatimonadota bacterium. RNAcentral describes it as "Gemmatimonadetes bacterium partial 16S ribosomal RNA". It matches the Rfam family "Bacterial small subunit ribosomal RNA", at positions 355 to 776 of the family's 1533-position model. Lineage: Bacteria; Pseudomonadati; Gemmatimonadota. The record is from RNAcentral.
UAGGGAAUCUUCGGCAAUGGACGAAAGUCUGACCGAGCAACGCCGCGUGAGUGAAGAAGGUUUUCGGAUCGUAAAACUCUGUUGUUAGAGAAGAACAAGGACGUUAGUAACUGAACGUCCCCUGACGGUAUCUAACCAGAAAGCCACGGCUAACUACGUGCCAGCAGCCGCGGUCAUACGUAGGUGGCAAGCGAUGUCCGGAUUUAUUGGGCGUAAAGCGAGCGCAGGCGGUUGCGUAAGUCUGGUGUGAAAGCCCCCGGCUCAACCGGGGAGGGUCAUUAGAAACUGGGAGGAUUGAGUGCAGGAGAGGAGAGUGGAAUUCCAUGUGUAGCAGUGAAGUGCGUAGAUAUAUGGAGGAACACCAGUGGCGAAGGCGGCUCUCUGGUCUGUAACUGACGCUGAGGCUCGAAAGCGUGGGGAGCAAACAGG